UAUAUAUAUAUAUAUAUAUAUUCACAUAGGACCAUUGAAGAUAGAGGAAGAACAUAGAAAAUUAAAAGAUGAGGAGUGGAGAGAAGUUUAUUAUGGCAGUUGCCAUGGUUGUAGUUUUUCUUUUCUCAAUAGGUAUGCCCAAAGCUGAAGGUAGAAGGGUAAUAUCUGAAACAUGGACAUGUCCUAUCCAAUGUGGCCAAGCAAAACCUGACUGUUAUACCUACUGCACACAGAGUGGGAAGGGCUAUUGGAGAGGGGUAUGCAGGGAUUCGAUAUGCUGUUGUGCUACAAGGAAUGUGCAAGAGAGUCACAGUUAAUGUUUCAAUGUGAUCUUGUGUUGUGCCUCAAUGAUAAUAAAAAAAAAAUAAUAGAUAAAGUUGGAACUUUAUGUUUUUCUUCUAGUUUGAAGAAUAAGUUAUGAGUUUCAUUACAAAGAAAUAAAACAUGAUUUGUUUUAUUAGUUUA
Lathyrus oleraceus (garden pea) is the source of this 465-nucleotide long non-coding RNA. RefSeq lists it as uncharacterized. The record is from RefSeq and is a predicted model, not a curated record. Lineage: Eukaryota; Viridiplantae; Streptophyta; Magnoliopsida; Fabales; Fabaceae. The transcript has 2 exons.